CCUACGGGAGGCAGCAGUGAGGAAUAUUGGUCAAUGGACGAGAGUCUGAACCAGCCAAGUAGCGUGAAGGAUGACUGCCCUCUGGGUUGUAAACUUUUUUUAUAUGGGAAUAAAAUGUUCCACGUGUGGGUUUUUGUAUGUACCAUAUGAAUACGGAACGGCUAACUCCGUUCCAGCAGCCGCGGUAAUACGGAGGUUCCGAGCGUUAUCCGGAUUAAUUGGGUUUAAAGGGAGCGUAGGUGGAUUUUUAAGUCAGUUGUGAAAGUUUGCGGCUCAACCGGAAAAUUGCAUUUGAAACUGGCAGUCUUGAGUACAGUAGAGGAGGGCGGAAUUCGUGGUGUAGCGGUGAAAUGCUUAGAUAUCACGAAGAACUCCGAUUGCGAAGGCAGCUCACUGGACUGCAACUGACACUGAGGCUCGAAAGUGUGGGUAUCAAACAGGAUUAGAUACCCGUGUAGUC
This 460-nucleotide ribosomal RNA is filed under the name uncultured bacterium. RNAcentral describes it as "partial 16S ribosomal RNA". It matches the Rfam family "Bacterial small subunit ribosomal RNA", at positions 338 to 795 of the family's 1533-position model. The record is from RNAcentral.